This 126-nucleotide small RNA is filed under the name Sinorhizobium terangae. Its description in RNAcentral is "Alphaproteobacterial ar14". It matches the Rfam family "Alphaproteobacterial ar14". Rfam says of the family: Smr14C2 was renamed NfeR1 (Nodule Formation Efficiency RNA) highly expressed in salt stress and during the symbiotic interaction on legume roots. The record is from Rfam by way of RNAcentral. Lineage: Bacteria; Pseudomonadati; Pseudomonadota; Alphaproteobacteria; Hyphomicrobiales; Rhizobiaceae.
AUCGAUCGGGGCGGCGCACUCCUCCUCCCAGCGCACCCCGAUACGGAUUGGCGACACUCCUCCUCCCGGUUGCCAAUCAGAACAAAGCAACGCCCGCUGGACCUCCUCCCCCAGCGGGCGUUGCUU